Molecule: microRNA precursor, 75 nt
Filed under: Procavia capensis (Cape rock hyrax)
Lineage: Eukaryota; Metazoa; Chordata; Mammalia; Hyracoidea; Procaviidae
Description: miRNA (ENSPCAG00000019707.1)
Source: RNAcentral
UAGGGGGACUAGUCAUUCUGGUUUGCUUGGGACUGAGGGGUUCCUAGGAUGUGGAACUUCCAGGGCUAAAUGCUG